GGGCGCAUAGCGCAGUGGUAGUGCGUCCGCUUUGCAAGCGGAAGGCCCCGGGUUCAAUCCCCGGUGUGUCCA
RNAcentral lists this transfer RNA (72 nucleotides) under Phytophthora infestans T30-4. RNAcentral describes it as "tRNA-Ala for anticodon AGC". It matches the Rfam family "tRNA". Rfam says of the family: Transfer RNA (tRNA) molecules are approximately 80 nucleotides in length. Their secondary structure includes four short double-helical elements and three loops (D, anti-codon, and T loops). Further hydrogen bonds mediate the characteristic L-shaped molecular structure. tRNAs have two regions of fundamental functional importance: the anti-codon, which is responsible for specific mRNA codon recognition, and the 3' end, to which the tRNAs corresponding amino acid is attached (by aminoacyl-tRNA synthetases). tRNAs cope with the degeneracy of the genetic code in two manners: having more than one tRNA (with a specific anti-codon) for a particular amino acid; and 'wobble' base-pairing, i.e. permitting non-standard base-pairing at the 3rd anti-codon position. The record is from Rfam by way of RNAcentral. Lineage: Eukaryota; Oomycota; Peronosporomycetes; Peronosporales; Peronosporaceae.